UACGGGGGGGGCAAGCGUUGUUCGGAAUUACUGGGCGUAAAGGGCGCGUAGGCGGCUUUUCAAGUCGGGCGUGAAAUCUCCGGGCUUAACCCGGAAGGGUCGUUCGAUACUGUUGAGCUAGAGUGUGGAAGAGGCAACUAGAAUUCCGUGUGUAGCGGUGAAAUGCGUAGAUAUACGGAGGAAUACCUGAGGCGAAGGCGGGUUGCUGGGCCAACACUGACGCUGAGGCGCGAAAGCCAGGGGAGCAAAC
This 250-nucleotide ribosomal RNA is filed under the name uncultured bacterium. Its description in RNAcentral is "partial 16S ribosomal RNA". It matches the Rfam family "Bacterial small subunit ribosomal RNA", at positions 524 to 773 of the family's 1533-position model. The record is from RNAcentral.